RNAcentral lists this ribosomal RNA (654 nucleotides) under uncultured bacterium. RNAcentral's name for it is "SSU rRNA". It matches the Rfam family "Bacterial small subunit ribosomal RNA", at positions 245 to 915 of the family's 1533-position model. The record is from RNAcentral.
CUGGUUGGUGGGGUAACGGCCUACCAAGGCGACGAUCGGUAGCUGGUCUUAGAGGAUGAUCAGCCAGACUGGGACUGAGACACGGCCCAGACUCCUACGGGAGGCAGCAGUUAGGAAUUUUGGGCAAUGGGCGCAAGCCUGACCCAGCAACGCCGCGUGGGUGACGAAGGCCUUCGGGUUGUAAAGCCCUUUUCUGAGGGAAGAUGAUGACGGUACCUCAGGAAGAAGCACCGGCUAACUACGUGCCAGCAGCCGCGGUAAUACGUAGGGUGCGAGCGUUGCCCGGAUUUAUUGGGCGUAAAGGGCGCGUAGGCGGCCACGCACGUCCGUUGUGAAAUCGCUCGGCUCAACUGGGCGGGGUCAGCGGAUACGGUGUGGCUGGAGCAAGCUAGGGGGCAAUGGAAUUCCCGGUGUAGUGGUGGAAUGCGUAGAUAUCGGGAGGAACACCAGUGGCGAAGGCGGUUGCCUGGAGCUUUGCUGACGCUGAUGCGCGAAAGCGUGGGGAGCGAUCCGGAUUAGAUACCCGGGUAGUCCACGCCGUAAACGAUGUCGACUAGGUGUCGGGGGUAUCGACCCCCUCGGCGCCGCAGCUAACGCAUUAAGUCGACCGCCUGGGGACUACGGCCGCAAGGCUAAAACUCAAAGGAAUUGACG